Molecule: ribosomal RNA, 498 nt
Filed under: Triticum aestivum (bread wheat)
Lineage: Eukaryota; Viridiplantae; Streptophyta; Magnoliopsida; Poales; Poaceae
Description: partial small subunit ribosomal RNA
Source: RNAcentral
AUGUACUCACAGGUUAUUCGCGUAAGUGACAUGCAAAGGUUGCAGGAUGAAAUAGCUGAGACCUUGAGCCUUCUUGAGGCCAUAUUCCUCCCAUCAUUUUUCGAUAUUAUGGUGCAUUUGAUGGUUCAUCUUCCAGCACAAGCAAUGAUAGCUAGUCCAGUACAUUUUCGCAGCAUGUGGGCUGUAGAGAGGUAUAUAGGAAAGCUCAAGGGACAUGUACACACCAGAAGUCAUGUGGAAGGAUCAAUUGCAGAGGGCUAUUUGUUUGAUGAGAGAUUGACAUUUUGCUCACACUAUUUGGAUGAUAAGAGUCGGUUGAAUCGAGCUAGGAAUGAUGGGGGUUUGUAUAUGGAAGUUGAUGAUACAACUCCUUUCUUCCACAACAUUGGUCGAGGGCUGGCUGGCAAGUGCAUGGUGAUGUUAGAUAACAAAACUUGGCUGCAAGCCCACAGAUACGUCUUAUUCAAUUAUGACAACAUAGAACCAUACCUAGAGUAA